UACGUAGGGUGCGAGCGUUAAUCGGAAUUACUGGGCGUAAAGUGUGCGCAGGCGGCCGCGCAAGUCGAGUGUGAAAUCCCCGAGCUUAACUUGGGAAUUGCGCUCGAAACUACGUGGCUGGAGUGUGGCAGAGGAAGGUGGAAUUCCACGUGUAGCGGUGAAAUGCGUAGAUAUCGAGAGGAACACCUGCGGCGAAGGCGGGUUGCUGGGCUGACACUGACGCUGAAGCGCGAAAGCUAGGGGAGCGAACGGG
RNAcentral lists this ribosomal RNA (253 nucleotides) under uncultured bacterium. RNAcentral describes it as "partial 16S ribosomal RNA". It matches the Rfam family "Bacterial small subunit ribosomal RNA", at positions 524 to 776 of the family's 1533-position model. The record is from RNAcentral.